GGGUGAGUGAUGAUUUGGACAGGAGUUGGGUAAGUGUAGAGACUCACCUAGUUCCUGGGUUGGUCACCGAAAUGGAAGAGGAAGAGUGGAGUGCUACCAGAUUCAGGGAACAGGGAGCUCCUCCCUGCUUGGGUGUGUCUACCCCAAGCCCACAGGUGCAGGCGGGGGCAGGGGGCAUCUGGGUGAGUGAUGUUUUGGGCAGGAGUUGGGUAAGGGCAGAGUCUCACUCACCUAGUUCCUGGGUCGAUUGGCGGAAAGCUAAUCUCUCCUAUUCUCAUGUGCAUUCAGCACUGGAGAAACAAGCUGACUUGCUGAAUAUUGGCCUAUAUGUCUUAUUAGCUGUGAAUGUAUUAAUUCACAUAUUGUCAUUCCUCAGGAACAAAGGGAAGGACAUGCAAGCUUUAUGUAAGGAAAUUCUAGAAGGAACAUUAUGAGCUAAGCAGGCAGUGGACAAUGAUGAAUUAAAGAAUGUUUCAGAGGCGUUAGGGGUUAGGCAGGCAUUGGACCGUGAUGAAUUAAAGGAUAUAUGCAACCAACUAAAAAUAGUCAAAUAGUCUCUCUCUCCUAUUCCUUUGUUACUAAGGUAUAAGAUACCCAGAAUAGGCUUCAACAAUCGGAUAAUGCCAUUAAAUCAAUGGCUGGAAAAUUCGAGAGAGACUAUGGUAGAAUUAGAGCUGAGUUUCAAAGCUUACAAGAUGAAUUACAGAACAGAGAUAACAAACUAGAAGUAUCUAUCAAGUCGAUUGCUGAGGCAAAUCACAACCUUGAUUCUAAGUAUCAAUCUCUGGAUGGCAGUCUCCGCACCACCCAGAUGCUAUCUAGGGAUGAAUGUAUUACCUUUCUAGAAAACCUUACAGAAGAAUUGUCACAGCAAAUCAUGGAUUCUAUAUCAUGCCUUGAAUCUUUCAUGAUGAAUGAGAUUAAAACCUCCCAUAAGGAUGUCCUGGCCAGGCUGUAGGAUCGAAUUGAUGAAGAGGAGGCAGACUCGCUCCAAUCUGAGGUGCCUACUCCAAGCAGGCAAACCACAAUCAACCAUCUGAAUUUUCAUUUGAAAAUCUGGAAACCACUGUGAAUGAUCUGUUUGGUGCUGGGACAGGGACAACAAGCACAACGCUGAGAUAUGCUCUGCUGCUCCUGCUGAAGCACCCACAUGUCACAGAAAAUAUCUUCCAUGUGUUAAUCAGAAUGGGUGCAAAACAUCCACCCAAGGCAGGAUCAUAGAGUUUUAAGACUGAAUAGAAGCAUGAAACCCUUCA
RNAcentral lists this long non-coding RNA (1256 nucleotides) under Cricetulus griseus (Chinese hamster). RNAcentral's name for it is "lncRNA (ENSCGRG00015035958.1)". Lineage: Eukaryota; Metazoa; Chordata; Mammalia; Rodentia; Cricetidae. The record is from RNAcentral.